CUUGCUAAAAUAUAAGAGGUCCAGCCUGCCCAGUGACCCAGUUCAACGGCCGCGGUAUCCUAACCGUGCGAAGGUAGCGUAAUCACUUGUUCUUUAAAUGGGGACUAGUAUGAAUGGCAUCACGAGGGUUGAACUGUCUCCUUUCUCUAAUCAGUGAAACUAAUCUCCCCGUGAAGAAGCGGGAAUCAUUUUAUAAGACGAGAAGACCCUAUGGAGCUUAAAACAAAUUGACACAUGCUUCCACCUACUUCAAUUCCUGAAUAAAUAUACAAAAUAUAGCAUCAUUGAUUAAUAGUUUUAGAUUGGGGUAAUCAUGGAGCAAAAAAUAACCUCCACGACGAAAAGGAAUAUUCCCUGAGCCAAAAGCCACAACUUUAAGCACUAAAAAAUUAACGCAUCUUGACCCAAUUUUUUGAGCAACGAAC
Molecule: ribosomal RNA, 425 nt
Filed under: Boana calcarata group sp. ABGD cluster 17
Lineage: Eukaryota; Metazoa; Chordata; Amphibia; Anura; Hylidae
Description: partial large subunit ribosomal RNA
Rfam family: Bacterial large subunit ribosomal RNA
Source: RNAcentral